Molecule: ribosomal RNA, 502 nt
Filed under: Candida albicans
Lineage: Eukaryota; Fungi; Ascomycota; Pichiomycetes; Serinales; Debaryomycetaceae
Description: LSU rRNA
Rfam family: Eukaryotic large subunit ribosomal RNA
Source: RNAcentral
GGAAAAGAAACCAACAGGGAUUGCCUCAGUAGCGGCGAGUGAAGCGGCAAAAGCUCAAAUUUGAAAUCUGGCGUCUUUGGCGUCCGAGUUGUAAUUUGAAGAAGGUAUCUUUGGGCCCGGCUCUUGUCUAUGUUCCUUGGAACAGGACGUCACAGAGGGUGAGAAUCCCGUGCGAUGAGAUGACCCGGGUCUGUGUAAAGUUCCUUCGACGAGUCGAGUUGUUUGGGAAUGCAGCUCUAAGUGGGUGGUAAAUUCCAUCUAAAGCUAAAUAUUGGCGAGAGACCGAUAGCGAACAAGUACAGUGAUGGAAAGAUGAAAAGAACUUUGAAAAGAGAGUGAAAAAGUACGUGAAAUUGUUGAAAGGGAAGGGCUUGAGAUCAGACUUGGUAUUUUGCAUGCUGCUCUCUCGGGGGCGGCCGCUGCGGUUUACCGGGCCAGCAUCGGUUUGGAGCGGCAGGAUAAUGGCGGAGGAAUGUGGCACGGCUUCUGCUGUGUGUUAUAG